This 253-nucleotide ribosomal RNA is filed under the name uncultured bacterium. Its description in RNAcentral is "partial 16S ribosomal RNA". It matches the Rfam family "Bacterial small subunit ribosomal RNA", at positions 524 to 776 of the family's 1533-position model. The record is from RNAcentral.
UACGGAGGGGGCUAGCGUUGUUCGGAAUUACUGGGCGUAAAGCGCACGUAGGCGGCUUUGUAAGUUAGAGGUGAAAGCCCGGGGCUCAACUCCGGAAUUGCCUUUAAGACUGCAUCGCUAGAAUUGUGGAGAGGUAAGUGGAAUUCCGAGUGUAGAGGUGAAAUUCGUAGAUAUUCGGAAGAACACCAGUGGCGAAGGCGACUCACUGGACACAUAUUGACGCUGGGGUGCGAAAGCGUGGGGAGCAAACAGG